Molecule: ribosomal RNA, 906 nt
Filed under: Murispora cicognanii
Lineage: Eukaryota; Fungi; Ascomycota; Dothideomycetes; Pleosporales; Amniculicolaceae
Description: eukaryotic LSU rRNA
Rfam family: Eukaryotic large subunit ribosomal RNA
Source: RNAcentral
GCAUAUCAAUAAGCGGAGGAAAAGAAACCAACAGGGAUUGCCCUAGUAACGGCGAGUGAAGCGGCAACAGCUCAAAUUUGAAAUCUGGCUCUUUUCAGGGUCCGAGUUGUAAUUUGUAGAGGGUGCUUUGGUGUUAGCUGUGGUCUAAGUCCCUUGGAACAGGGCGUCACAGAGGGUGAGAAUCCCGUAUGUGGCCAGCAGCUUCCGCCUUGUAAAGCCCCUUCGACGAGUCGAGUUGUUUGGGAAUGCAGCUCUAAAUGGGAGGUAAAUUUCUUCUAAAGCUAAAUAUUGGCCAGAGACCGAUAGCGCACAAGUAGAGUGAUCGAAAGAUGAAAAGCACUUUGGAAAGAGAGUCAAAAAGCACGUGAAAUUGUUGAAAGGGAAGCGCUUGCAGCCAGACUUGCCCGUAGUUGCUCACCCAGACCUUGUGUCUGGUGCACUCUUCUGCGGGCAGGCCAGCAUCAGUUCAGGCGGUCGGAUAAAGGCUUUGGGAAUGUGGCUCCUCUCGGGGAGUGUUAUAGCCCAGGGCGUCAUGCGGCCAGCUUGGACUGAGGUCCGCGCUUUUGCUAGGAUGCUGGCGUAAUGGCUGUAAGCGGCCCGUCUUGAAACACGGACCAAGGAGUCUAACAUCUAUGCGAGUGUUUGGGUGUCAAGCCCGAGCGCGUAAUGAAAGUGAACGGAGGUGGGAACCCUUUGGGGUGCACCAUCGACCGAUCCUGAUGUCUUCGGAUGGAUUUGAGUAAGAGCAUAGCUGUUGGGACCCGAAAGAUGGUGAACUAUGCCUGAAUAGGGUGAAGCCAGAGGAAACUCUGGUGGAGGCUCGCAGCGGUUCUGACGUGCAAAUCGAUCGUCAAAUUUGGGCAUAGGGGCGAAAGACUAAUCGAACAUCUAGUAGCUGGUUCCUGC